This is a long non-coding RNA of Micropterus salmoides (largemouth bass), 1531 nucleotides long. RefSeq lists it as uncharacterized. The record is from RefSeq and is a predicted model, not a curated record. The transcript has 4 exons. NCBI's taxonomy places the organism in Eukaryota, Metazoa, Chordata, Actinopteri, Centrarchiformes, Centrarchidae.
AGUCAACAUGAGCAAGAGGAGAGGAGAUAUUCCACACUUUUUUGGUGCCAAAAAAAGAAGACAUGGACACGAGAAGAAGGUGUGGUGCAACCCCCAUUAAGCGAUUAUCCAGCUCUACCUUUGUUUUUCUUCACUAUACAAGCUGUAAAGAACGGAAGAUUGAAUCGUUUUGGAUAGACUGCGAAGAUCACAAAUGCCUUCAAUGAUGCACCUCUGGGAAAUAGUCACAGAUGGGGCUAGCAGUUAUUCAGAUGAAUCAGCAGCACUGCAAACAAGCUAAGCAGCUAGUGAAAGGUUGGAGGUACAAUAUUUGGCCGGGGAGGGGCAGAGAGCUCUUGCUGCCCAGGCAGGCCUGACGCCUCAACCAGGCUUUUACAGUAGGAAGGAGUGAAGCACACAGAGGUUUACCGCCAUGCUGGGAUCACCAGUUUAAUGGAGGCUCGCCCUAUCCCACAUUCAAACCCUGCAUCUCUUGGCUCCCUUCCGGCAGCUGGAGUAUACUGGGGAGCGUUCCCAUGGAAAAGCUGUUAAACUGGCCACGGUAGUGAGGAUGAGGAACAAGUUUCCAUCAUGUUCUAACUAGCUACAAAGAGAUUCACAUAUUGCACUGCCAUAUAGACUUCUCUACUGUAAGAUAGUUCUAGUAGGCUAAUUGUGAUGUAGUAAGUUUUAGUUGGCAGUUGGAGAUUUUGUCUGCUUUUUUUCUGUCGUUUUCCAGUCUAGUGGCUACAGGUGUGUACAUGACCAGGUCUAUUUCCUCCUGAACUGACCUAUGAGGGGUCUGAGUGAGCUUGUUUUUGCAUCGUCUCCAUGUUGCUAUGCAGACUGACUUUUCCAUUGGCUGGGUUUUACCAGUCAUCCUUAAAGACAAGCCUGGUCCUGAUUGUUCCGGAUCGUACGGCGGAAUCAAAUUAGGGACUGGUAAUGGCCAUAAAGUCCAUGUCUGAGGCAUUAUACUCAAGGGCGUGGGCCCACCUCACAUUUCCCAUCCGCAUUUCCUUUCGUCCUCGUUUCUGAGUGGGACUGUCAGCUUUUUUUCAUUACCAGCUAAUCUGGAGGAUUUGUAACUAAAACAACAAACAGAUAAAAACGCACAAAUCAAUGGGAGAGAGUGAUGUUCCACCAAUCAACUGUAUGUUCAUAAUUGGCCAACUCAUACAUCAUGCUUGUUCUUCUAUGAAUGGGCCCCAUGCUUUGCAGUUGUUUAUAAAAUUCGAGGUGGAUAUCCUGCUAUUUUUUUCUUCAUCAGCGUUCACUCACUUCAAAGCCUCAGUAACUAAAAUGCCAAAAGUAUCUGCAUUAACUUUUCCCCCUAGCAUAACCAUAGGUACUUUACAGAUGCUCUAUAUCAAGAUGUGGGAGCAUUUUAAACUACUUUAAUAUGUAAACAGUAGCCACCAUACAAUUACUAACUGUUACAUGUGUCUGUUGUUUGAUUAGUUAUAUCCUCAUUUACCCUAUCCUGUGGGCAUGCGAACACUGAAUUAUUGUUUGCUUUAAAUGUGAAUUAUUAAAAAGAGCCAGCAACCAA